GACGAACGCUGGCGGCGCGCCUAACACAUGCAAGUCGAACGAGCGAGAGAGAGCUUGCUUUCUCGAGCGAGUGGCGAACGGGUGAGUAACGCGUGAGGAACCUGCCUCAAAGAGGGGGACAACAGUUGGAAACGACUGCUAAUACCGCAUAAGCUCACGGCUCGGCAUCGAGCAGGGGGAAAAGGAGCAAUCCGCUUUGAGAUGGCCUCGCGUCCGAUUAGCUUGUUGGUGAGGUAACGGCCCACCAAGGCGACGAUCGGUAGCCGGACUGAGAGGUUGAACGGACACACUGGGGCUAGGACGCAGCCCAGAAUCCUACGGGAGGCAGCAGUGGGGAAUAUUGCACAAUGGGGGAAACCCUGAUGCAGCGACGCCGCGUGAAGGAAGAAGGUCGUCGGAUUGUAAACUCCUGUUGUUGGGGAAGAUAAUGACGGUACCCAACAAGGAAGUGACGGCUAACUACGUG
Molecule: ribosomal RNA, 466 nt
Filed under: uncultured bacterium
Lineage: Bacteria
Description: partial 16S ribosomal RNA
Rfam family: Bacterial small subunit ribosomal RNA
Source: RNAcentral